Oncorhynchus tshawytscha (Chinook salmon) is the source of this 430-nucleotide long non-coding RNA. Lineage: Eukaryota; Metazoa; Chordata; Actinopteri; Salmoniformes; Salmonidae. The record is from Ensembl.
CUAACUGUCUGUUAGGUGGUAGUAACUGUCUAACUAUCUGUUAGGUGGUAGUAACUGUCUGCUAGGUGGUAGUAACUGUCUGUUAGGUGGCAGUAACUGUCUGUUAGGUGGCAGUACCUGUCUGUUAGGUGGUAGUAACUGUCUGUUAGGUGGUAGUAACUGUCUAACUGUCUGUUAGGUGGUAGUAACUGUCUGUUAGGUGGUAGUAACUGUCUGUUAGGUGGCAGUAACUGUCUAACUGUCUGUUAGGUGGUAGUAACUGUCUGUUAGGUGGUAGUAACUGUCUGUUAGGUGGUAGUAACUGUCUGUUAGGUGGCAGUAACUGUCUAACUGUCUGUUAGGUGGCAGUAACUGUCUGUUAGGUGGUAGUAACUGUCUGUUAGGUUGUAGUAACUGUCUAACUGUCUGUUAGGUGGUAGUAACUGUCUAA